Molecule: long non-coding RNA, 321 nt
Organism: Trematomus bernacchii (emerald rockcod)
Lineage: Eukaryota; Metazoa; Chordata; Actinopteri; Perciformes; Nototheniidae
Exons: 3
Source: RefSeq, a predicted model, not a curated record
AAACCAGCACAUCUGCUCUCUACAAUCCAAUAAUGGAAGGCUUUAUUACCAAAGACGGUAGUGUUCCUGCGACUUUGGCUGCUUGGGAGUGCGGUCGUCUUUCAACCAGGAGGUUGUGGGUUAGAGCCCAGCCCGUACAGUCAACAUGUCGACGAUUCCUCUGUCUGUUCGUCUCAACCUUCUACAAACUGCCACAACACAUUCUCGGGCCACAAUGAUAAGGCUGUCCGGAUUGUCAUCGUUGGGAAAACUGGAGCUGGGAAGAGCGCCACAGGAAACACCAUUCUGGGAAAACAGUACUUUAAAUCAGAGAUUUCUCCU